Molecule: ribosomal RNA, 221 nt
Filed under: uncultured bacterium
Lineage: Bacteria
Description: partial 16S ribosomal RNA
Rfam family: Bacterial small subunit ribosomal RNA
Source: RNAcentral
UAAUGUAUGGGGAUCUGCCCGAUAGAGGGGGAUAACUACUGGAAACGGUGGCUAAUACCGCAUAAUGUCUACGGACCAAAGCAGGGGCUCUUCGGAACCUUGCACUAUCGGAUGAACCCAUAUGGGAUUAGCUAGUAGGUGGGGUAAAGGCUCACCUAGGCGACGAUCUCUAGCUGGUCUGAGAGGAUGAUCAGCCACACUGGGACUGAGACACGGCCCAG